AGUGAACGCUGGCGGUAGGCCUAACACAUGCAAGUCGAACGGCAGCACAGUAAGAGCUUGCUCUUACGGGUGGCGAGUGGCGGACGGGUGAGGAAUACAUCGGAAUCUACUUUUUCGUGGGGGAUAACGUAGGGAAACUUACGCUAAUACCGCAUACGACCUACGGGUGAAAGCAGGGGAUCUUCGGACCUUGCGCGAUUGAAUGCGCCGAUGUCGGAUUAGCUAGUUGGCGGGGUAAAGGCCCACCAAGGCGACGAUCCGUAGCUGGUCUGAGAGGAUGAUCGGCCACACUGGAACUGAGACACGCUCCAGAGUCCUACGGGAGGCAGCAGUGGGGAAUAGUGGACAAUGGUCGCAAGCCUGAUCCAGCCAUACCGCGUGGGUGAAGAAGGCCUUCGGGUUGUAAAGCCCUUUUGUUGGGAAAGAAAAGCAGCAGGUUAAUACCCCGCUGUUCUGACGGUACCCAAAGAAUAAGCACCGGCUAACUUCGUG
RNAcentral lists this ribosomal RNA (492 nucleotides) under uncultured bacterium. RNAcentral's name for it is "partial 16S ribosomal RNA". It matches the Rfam family "Bacterial small subunit ribosomal RNA", at positions 29 to 507 of the family's 1533-position model. The record is from RNAcentral.